UUACCUGAUGUGUUUCUUUUGGUUUAAGAUUGUUUGUCCUAAGUCAUGUUAGUUACAGGGGAGGAAUUUAGUUUUAUAUACAAAAUUUUAACUGAGUACAUCCUGAUGCUGCAUGUCUAUUGUUUCUUCAGACAGCUUCCUAAGGCUGAUCUUAACAGGCCACUAUGGGGAGCUAAUCUGUCUGUAAGAGAGUCUCCUCACAAAAAUAUAGGCAUGACAAAUGUCAAAUAUCUCCUUUUUUUAAAGAUGGAUGGUUGGAGAUAAAUCUCAGUAAACUGAGAAAAUUGUUACCUUUUUCUGUUCUGAAAAGCUGAGAUUAACCAAGCUAGUUCAUCUGCAAACUAUAUUUUCCUUGCUGUUACUGGAAUAAAUCCAGAAACAAAAAUAGUCCAAAGAUGAGAAUACACUGCCAGAAGGGCUGAAAAUUGAAUCCAGCAGCCUAGAUGAAACUCCCCCAAGAAGAGAGGGAGAGUGUGUAGGAAUCUAAUUAAUGACUAUUUAUUAAAAAAAGGUGAAUUUGUAAAAUUUAGACAAGGAAUAGUCAUCUAUAGAGUGCGAUGUAGUUUAAAAUUAUUUAAACAUAAAAAUCACUUUAAUCUGAACAGUGUUCCUUAUAAUGGACACUAACAUUUGAUUUUUAGACUCCAUUGUUUGUAAUAUCCUCUUGAAGUAAGAACAUAUUUUCCAUUCCUGUCAAUUUUGUCCUUUUUUGUUUGACAAACAUGGAUAUUUUUCCUACACUAUAUAUGGAGUGAAAAACACUAUUUUUGUUGGCUUGUGAAAACGGUGGCUUCCUCUCUAGUAAGAGCGGCAGAUUUAUUUUUAUAGAUGUACAAAUAUGUAAUCUACACAGUUAUUUAGCAGAAAUGGUUUAACUAGAUCUUAAAAAGAUAUAGUUUAGGCCUUCUGGUUCAGUUUUAGAGGCAGUUUUAUAUAAUCAAAAAAUAAACUCCUUUGUAUCUGUAACCAUGGAAUGAACUACGUAACCAUGGAAUAAAAACUGUCUGUUUAGUGCUUUUGGCUCCCUUAUUUUCCUUCUAAUCCAUCUCCAAGGGGGCUACUUCUAACAUUCCAGCCCUCUAAGCAGCUUUCUGACAUCUGCCAUUAAAAAAAUGAAGUUUGUUCUUAGUUUUAUUCCCAAGUGUGAUCUGGUAAAAGAGAGGGACAAAUUCUUCUCUCUUACCAAUUCUAUACUAUUUUAUCUCUGUUGACUUCUCCUGAUUUACAGCAGUGUGAGAGGAAAACCAAGCCCAGAGUUUGCAAGCAAGAACUGGUAAUAAUUGGUUAUGGACAUAUGACAAUUUUAAGGUCUGAAAUAAUUGUAAUCCCUCCUAACUUUUAUACCUCCUCCUCCUCUCCUUGUUGUGAGAAAGUAUUUAGCAGAAUUCACAGAUUUGGUGCAAUCUGACAGGGCCAUGCUGUAAGCGCUUCUGCUAUGGCCUCAAACUUGUGACCUUUGAACUAUCAACCGUGUGCCUUAGUGCCCAGCCCAGCCCCGCCCCGCCCCCAGCUUUAUAUCAAUGGUGAUGUGGUCAAUAAUCUAUAGUAUUUAUCCACAACUGUACCAAGAAAUGAUACAGACCUUAAAUUCAAAACAUCCUGACAUUAAAAAAGGUAUUUCACACAACUUUAAAGGAAUUGAAAAUGAAAUAAUAUUAAGUCUUUGCUGUAUAUGGUAAUUAAGGCAGUUAGAGAGGUCAGUAUUAAUAAACACAUUUUGUGAGAAGCAUGGAUUCUUCGCAGGAUAUCUUUUUUUGGACUAACUGCAUAGCUGGGAUAGAGUUAGACAAGCUUUUGGAUGCAAGGCAUUCUUUUGAAGGUCUCAAUUUAAAAUUUUAAAAUGUCAUCGUUUUAAAAUUUCAGUUUUUCCAAAACAUGUUUUUUAAAAAUGUUGUACAAGCAAAAAUUAUCAUUGGAAAGUGGGGUUGGAAGGGACUUCAUGAGGACUAGUCCAGUGCCCUGCUCAAGGCAGGAUCAUCCUUGACUAAACCAUCCCAGCCAAAUGUCUGUCCAACCUGAUAUUGAAAAUGUCCUGGGAUGGACAUCCCACAACUUCUCAAGGUAGUAUGAUGAAGAUGCAUGGCAAAACGAGAAGCUCUUGUUAAUGGUGCAACACAUUUUCCACAAGAAUUUCCAGUCAUUAGACCCGCAUUCUGAUAGGUCCAGUAGCCCUUCCUUAGGCCUAAUGGGCAGAGCCUUCUUUAUCUUCCUUAUUUCCACCCUUCCCCAAAUGCCCAACUAAUGUGUGUCCAACAAUGCCCCUCCAUGUAGAGGAGGAUUUAACCUGUGCCUCAAAGUAUUGAUGCAAAGUUGGCUUAAAGCUUUUAUUCAUUUACUAUUUUCAUGUACUGUAGUCAUAAUGUUUCCUGACUCUAACCAUUUGGGCUGAAAUUAUCCACAUUAGGUCUCUGCCAGAAGCUGAAUCAUUUUGAAAAGUUUCUAUACCACUGGCUCAGUCAUUUCCAAAAACAAGAUUAGAGAAAAAUGCAUUGUUUUGCUCAUAUUAAAUGUUUUCUUAUACUUGUUUUGUUGUGAAGCUUUAAUGAACACAUGUUUUGAAGCAAUGGCUUAAUAUCUGGAAGGAAGUGGUUCUAGCAUUGAGGAUGUGCCUCUUGUCGUUCCUGUGGAAAACAGGCCCAAAUCUGAUAGUCAUAAACCUUUGGAAAAUUGGCUUAAAUAUGUUCAGAAAAGACUUGCUGGGGUUUGGCAGCUAGAUAACACUUUCUUAGCAAUUGCUGCUUGGUGUAGGAACUAAAUGCAGGUGUUUCUCAACCAGAGUGCUGUGGGAUCCUUUUAAGGGUGCCACAGGGUGCAAGGCAAUGUUAGCACUGUUAGGUGUGCAAGCACCUACACAUGGUUCACAAGAUAAACCCAGAGAUUUCAAGUAGGAAUCGGUGUCAAAAGCAUUCUGCCCUGUUGUGGUCUUUCUAAGUUCUUUGCAGCGGAAGAAUUGCUCUAUUAUUUUUCUGUAAUCAAAGAACAAGUGAAAGUUAAGAGCUGGCAUUUUCUGAGCAGGGGCUAAAGUCUAACAAGGGGUGCCUUGCAGUCUAUGGCACAGGCCCCAUCUACCCACUUCAGUAUACCCACACCAAAUCUGUAAAUGUAUCAAUGAAGCUGCUGAGACAGGUGCUUCUUGUGAUAUAACUGAGAAAGAAAUCAAGAGUAUGUUUAAGAGCAGCCACAGGAGUAUCCCUCAGUAUGGCUCCACCACUGUAUCUUUGAGUUGGGCACAUGUUAGCAGGAUGCAGUGGCACAGGGCAUGUUUAAAAGCAAUUUUCUGUCAGAGUGCUAGGGACAGCAUAGAAAUACCGUUAAUGCUUCCCUUGCAGACUAGAAAGCAGGAAGCUACUUCACUCGUAUACACACAUGACAAGAAAUCAAUCUGGACUCCUGUGGGGAAGGCUGAAACAGGAAACUGAAAGGAGACUCAGGACUGGCCAAGUAAGGAGACUGAGAACUGGAAUCAGUUGGGUGAGUAUGAGAAGAAAAGAUUAGGACUGACUGGGCAAGGAGACUGGGAGCCAGUGUGAAGGGGAGAGAAAAGAGGGCAGCAAGGACUGUGAACAGGAUUUUGGAAAAGGAGCUGAGGGAAAUCUGGGACUUGAAGACCAACAAGAGAGGAGAGGGAAAAUAGGAUUUGUAUUGUGGAUCAAGGCAGGAAGGGAAUCCAUAUUUAGACUUUAGAGGAGAAAAACCAGGAUUGCCUGGGCAAGGGGACUGAAAUGAGAAUGAAAAGUUGGGAGGGGAGUCAGGCUGAAGGCAACAGAGUAGAGGAGUCAAGCUUUCAGAAACAGGCAGAAGGAACCACAAUCCCCUUUAGAUUCUGGAACAGAAUCAAAAUAUGAAUGCUGUUGUCAGCAAGUAAUGGUGAAAUCCGCUGACAAAGUGUUUGUUCAUUCCCCUGUGAGUGGCUCAUACACAUAGGCAAAGUACAGACAUUCAAAAAGCUCAAGCCUGAUUUGAUUCAAUCUUUGCAGAGUAGUCUAACCUGUGUAAACUGGAUGCCCAGCAGGGCUGGAAGGGGGCAGGGAAUGGGGGCCCCCCCACCUGUCCUUGGGGCCCUGGAGGUGCAGGUGAGGGAGCUCCAGGAGGAGGUUAGCAGGCUGAGGGGAAUCAGGGAGGCAGAGGAUGAAACUGAUGGGUAUUUUCUCUCCCUGCAGGGCCAUGCAUCCAAGGAAGAAGCACCCCAGGAGGUGCCUUCCACAGCAGAGUAGCAGAUGGUCCCCUCCAGAAUCAGGGCUGCUCGCAGCAGAGCAGUGCCAGUUCCUCCAGUCCGGCUGGAGAACAGGUACGAGGCCCUGGCAACACUGCAGGAGAAGGAAGUAGAGGAGGAAAACUCUGGAGAGGAGGCAACUCCACACUCUGAACAGGCUGAAGGAGCUAAGCAGACCCAGAGGAAGAAACGUUGAGUGAUCGUCAUAGGCGACUCUAUCCUGAGUGGUACAGAGGGUCCCAUCUGUUGCCAGGACCCCUUGACACGCGAGGUCUACUGCCUGCCCCGUGCAAAGGUUCAGGAUGUGACGGGGAUGAUCCAGGCCAUUAUCCGGCCCACCGAUUUACUACCCCAUGGUCCUAACCCAUGUGGGUACUAAAGAUGCGGCCAGGAGAAGCCCUGAUCACCUGAUGAUGGACUACCACACUCUGGGGGGCGUGCUGAAGGAGAUAGGGGUAAAGGUGGUAUUCUCUUCUGUCCUACCAGUGAGCGGACGUGGAAGAUGACAUGAGACCUGCAUCAGAGAGGUCAGCUUGCGGCUUUGGGAAUGGUGUCUCGAGGUGGGCUUCGGCUUCCUAGACAACAACCCACGCAUCAGGACGACCUGGGGCUCGGGUGGGAUGGGCUUCACCUUUCCCCCAAAAGUAAGCAUAUGUUCUCUUCUAGGUUGGCUGAUCUCCAGCAGGCUUUAAACUAGGCUUGUCGGGAGAAGGGGAAGACAAGGGCGGAGGAAGCCUUGGACCACUAAACCAAGCGUCACCCACAAGAACAGCCCAGCUUAGACCAACGACAAGCAGAACAAAUACCCAGGAUGGAAUUUUUGAUCCAAGAUAGAAAGACAGUGAUGCCCACCUUGGACGUAGGAUUACCAAGUUCAAGGUUCUACUUUGUGUGAUUUAAGACCAAGGAUUUAUUUCUCGCCCACAUUCCAGCAGCCUCCCUUGCUCUCAGCAAAAAUGCUACCAGUGACAAUUUUACUGAAUUAUAACUUGCCGUUAGAGGAGCCAGAAGCAUCAUCCACAUGAAUA
Long non-coding RNA from Alligator mississippiensis (American alligator), 5241 nucleotides. RefSeq lists it as uncharacterized. Lineage: Eukaryota; Metazoa; Chordata; Crocodylia; Alligatoridae. The transcript has 3 exons. The record is from RefSeq and is a predicted model, not a curated record.